Molecule: ribosomal RNA, 253 nt
Filed under: uncultured bacterium
Lineage: Bacteria
Description: partial 16S ribosomal RNA
Rfam family: Bacterial small subunit ribosomal RNA
Source: RNAcentral
UACGAAGGGGGCUAGCGUUGUUCGGAUUUACUGGGCGUAAAGCGCACGUAGGCGGAUUGUUUAGUCGGGGGUGAAAUCCCGGGGCUCAACCUCGGAACUGCCUUUGAUACUGCAGAUCUCGAGUCCGGAAGAGGUGAGUGGAAUUCCUAGUGUAGAGGUGAAAUUCGUAGAUAUUAGGAAGAACACCAGUGGAGAAGGUGGCUCACUGGUACGGUACUGACGCUGAGGUGCGAAAGCGUGGGGAGCAAACAGG